CCUACGUGUGGCAGCAGUGGGGAAUAUUGCACAAUGGGGGAAACCCUGAUGCAGCGACGCCGCGUGAAGGAAGAAGUAUUUCGGUAUGUAAACUUCUAUCAGCAGGGAAGAAAAUGACGGUACCUGACUAAGAAGCCCCGGCUAACUACGUGCCAGCAGCCGCGGUAAUACGUAGGGGUCAAGCGUUAUCCGGAUUUACUGGGUUUAAAGGGAUCGUAGGCGGUUGUGCAAGUCAGGAGUGAAAGCCCAGGGCUCAACCACGGGACUGCUUUUGAAGCUGUUCAACUUGAGUGCAGGAGAGGUAAGUGGAAUUCCUAGUGUAGCGGUGAAAUGCGUAGAUAUUAGGAGGAACACCAGUGGCGAAGGCGGCUUACUGGACUGUAAAUGACGCUGAGGCUCGAAAGCGUGGGGAGCAAACAGGAUUAGAUACCCGAGUAGUC
This 440-nucleotide ribosomal RNA is filed under the name uncultured bacterium. Its description in RNAcentral is "partial 16S ribosomal RNA". It matches the Rfam family "Bacterial small subunit ribosomal RNA", at positions 338 to 795 of the family's 1533-position model. The record is from RNAcentral.